UCUUCUUCUUCUUCUUCUUCUUCUUUCUUUCUUAUUUUCUUCCUUCUUCUUCUUCUUCUGUUCUUCUCCUCUGCGAAUUCGAGAGAUCAAAUGAGUUAUUUCUGAACAGUGGAAGGUGGAACAUAUCAUGGGUUAGCGGUUAGUGAUGUUGUUGUUUUCCGUUGAUGAUCCAGACUCGAAGGAGGAAGUGAAAUGGAAGUUAGGGUUUCUGAGGUUGAAGUUCUUGAAGAAUUGAAGAUGAUAUGGUACUGUUGAGGGAUAAGUAACAAUUGGGUUGUGGUUUAGAGCCUUGAAAUUGUUUCAGUGACGAAUCAGUGGAGAAUCAUUGUGGAUAUUUUUAUUAGGGUUUCAUUAGAGUCGCAGAAGUGAAUUCGAAGAUGAAAUUGAUACUCUAGAAGUUCAAUUGAAGUUGGGUUCUGUCUGUUGAAUGCAAAUAAGAAGAUUUAAUAUCUAAUUUUCGAUUCAUAGAGAAAAAUUGAAGAAUUAGAGUUCAUGUGUUCUUCCUCAAUUUGAAUUAGGGUUUAACUGCGAGUUGGUGGUGUUGAUUCAAAGAUUGAUUCAAGUUCAGAGAAGCUUUGAGGUAUCUGUUUUCUUAAUAUCUAACUAAAACUAUUGAUUUCAGUUAAUAAGUUUACGAUUUUGUGGAUGAUGAUGAAUAUAUAAUGAAACUGAAGUUUAUAGUUUGAGAUGAUUGUUCAAUUGAGACAAAGGAAGGAAGAAUUCGACCUAAGUUGCCUUAGCAGCACUGAUUUGAGGUAAUUGCUCUUAUCAGUAAAAUCAAUUCAAUUCCAAUAUUGGGUUUAUAAGUCUUUCCAUGAACUGUGAAUGAGGUUUGCUGUGAUAUGUAUUUGUUUAUGGAUGUGAUAAAGUUUAGGUUGUGUUGGUUGUAAGAAGUUGAUAUGUGUUAGAGUUAAUGUAGGGGUUGAGCUUUAUGAAUUGAAAUGGUUAUGAAAUAGAUGUGUGGUUGAACUGAGUUAACUGUGGUGGUGUUAGUGGUUGUUGAUACAGUAGUCAGAAAAUGGGUUUGGUGUUGAGAGGUUGUUGAUGAAAUGGGAUGAAGAUAAGAGUAUGUUAUGGGUAGCUUAUGUUGCUGGUAAGCUGUUAGUGUAGAAGAAAGUUGCAGUUUGUGAUUAAAAAUGGAAGUUGCAGAUUAGGUGAUGGUGUUGAUGUUACAGAGGAUGAGUUGUGUGAACUCAGAAAGAAUGGGUUUUGUUGUUGAGGUUGUAAUUGAGAAGUUCUAGAGUUUCAGUUGCAAUUCAGUGGAGUUGGUGGUUAUAGACCUGGUGUCGUUGUGCCUAAGUGAAUUAGUUUUAUAGCAGGAUGUAGAAAGAAUGUGGAGCAGCUACUGCAUUUGCAGGGACGAACCAGUAGAUCGCGGAUCUCGAGGAAGGCGUGGCUUGUCAUCAAAAGAGUUUCAGAGACAGAUCAGAGUUGCGCAGCGAAAGCUUCGAGGAGUUG
Papaver somniferum (opium poppy) is the source of this 1458-nucleotide long non-coding RNA. RefSeq lists it as uncharacterized. The record is from RefSeq and is a predicted model, not a curated record. NCBI's taxonomy places the organism in Eukaryota, Viridiplantae, Streptophyta, Magnoliopsida, Ranunculales, Papaveraceae. The transcript has 3 exons.